UUGGGUGGUGAUAGCGCAGGGGGUACACCCGUUCCCAUCCCGAACACGGUCGUUAAGCCCUGCAGCGCCGAUGGUACUGCCACUGAGAGGUGGUGGGAGAGUAGGACGCCGCCCAAU
RNAcentral lists this ribosomal RNA (117 nucleotides) under Candidatus Latescibacterota bacterium. Lineage: Bacteria; Pseudomonadati; Candidatus Latescibacterota. The record is from RNAcentral.